RNAcentral lists this transfer RNA (85 nucleotides) under Hannaella oryzae. RNAcentral describes it as "tRNA-Ser". It matches the Rfam family "tRNA". From Rfam's summary of the family: Transfer RNA (tRNA) molecules are approximately 80 nucleotides in length. Their secondary structure includes four short double-helical elements and three loops (D, anti-codon, and T loops). The record is from RNAcentral. Lineage: Eukaryota; Fungi; Basidiomycota; Tremellomycetes; Tremellales; Bulleribasidiaceae.
GGAAGGACACAACUAUGGCGAGGUGGUUCCGGUUGCUAACUGGACGGGACAAGGUCUCUUAUGGGUUCGACUCCCAUUCCUUCCG